GGGAGCCAAAACCUCUGACUGGAUGGGCGACCGCCAGCAGCACCAGGAGCCCGAGGGGCGCCGAGCGCAGAGCCAUCCUGGCCGCGACCCUCAAGCAG
Pseudonaja textilis is the source of this 98-nucleotide non-coding RNA. NCBI's taxonomy places the organism in Eukaryota, Metazoa, Chordata, Lepidosauria, Squamata, Elapidae. The record is from RefSeq and is a predicted model, not a curated record.